Long non-coding RNA from Ailuropoda melanoleuca (giant panda), 8302 nucleotides. RefSeq lists it as uncharacterized. The transcript is spliced from 3 exons. The record is from RefSeq and is a predicted model, not a curated record. NCBI's taxonomy places the organism in Eukaryota, Metazoa, Chordata, Mammalia, Carnivora, Ursidae.
CCGAUGUUUACCCGACUGUGCCACCCAGGCACCCCUAGCAUGUUUGACAUUUUUAAGUGUAUAGUUCACUGACAUUAAGUACAUUCAUAUUGUACUACCAUCACCACCGUCCAUCUCCAGGACUCUUCCCAUCUUGAAACACUGAAAACUCUGUACCCAUUAAGCAAUAACUCGAUUCCCUUCUCCCCUUCCAGCCUCUGGCAACCAUCAUCCUACCUGUUGACUCUGGGACUUUGAUCACUCUAGAUGCCCCUUGUCAAUGGCAUCGUACAAUAUUUGUUCUCUUGUAUCUGGCUUGUUUCACUAGGCAUCAUGUCUUCAAGGUUCAUCCGUGUUGUGGCCUGUACCACAAUUACCUUCCUUUUUUACAGCUGAGUAAUAUUCUGUGGCAUGUAUUACCACAUUUUCCUUCUCCAUUCAUCUGUCGAUGGACGCUGGGUUGCUUCCACAUUUUCACUGUUGUGAAGUAAUGCUGCUGUUGAAUGUGGGUGUACAACUUUCUGCCUCUUUUAAUCUAGAAUAGUUCCUCCCCUUUUCCUACUAGGUCAACUUUUUGAAGAUAUCAGUCCAGUUGUCAUUCUAUGGAGUAUUCCUUGUUUUGAAUUUAUCUGGUUACUCCCUGAUGGUCUGAUUGGAAGUUUGUUUUUUCUUGAGUGGAUUUGUUUAGUUUGAUGAUGUUGGAGAAGUGCUAAGGCAUUCAUUUAAGUAUUUCAGGUUCCACGUCUGGCUGGUCCCUGUUCAUGAUGCUGAGGGUGACCACUGGGUUGAUGUGGGUAGUGACUGUAGGACCUCUCCAUGUGAAAGGUACCCUCACUCCCUUGAAGUCGGCAAGUGCAUCUUGUUGUUACCCUUUUAACAGAUGAGGCUGUUGCCGAAAUUCUGAGUAGGUGCUAACUUGCUCACCGAUAAGAAUCGUCUCUCCCAUUUAUUGAGUGUUUGCCAUAUGGCAGGCACUGAUGUAGUCCGUGACAGAUAUUAUUUCAUUUAAUCCUUCCAGUUGUCCCCAUUGGCAACUCAGUUGUGCCCUUCUGUUAUGAAGACACUUUGCAGACCCUUCCCCAUCCUGCUUUCCUUUUCUUGUACUGCUCCCUGCCCAUGGUGGCUCAUGGCCUUUCCCGGCCAGGCCGGCUGGUUCGACGUGGGCACCGUCUGUCCAGUUUCUGUAUCCACGGGGUGAGAACAUGGCUCUGGAGCCAGGCUGCCUGCCUUCCAGUCCCGGCUCGACCCCUCCCGUGUGACUCCGGGGUGGUUCCUCACCCUUGGGACUUCACGGUCCUCAUCUGUAACUUGGGAAUGACGCCUGCUUCGGAAGGUUCUUAUGAGUGUGAGUUUCCCCAUGUGGAAGGAUUCGUGUGGUGCCUGGUACAUCAUAGAUCCCAGCCUCCCUGCUGGCACCCCUGCCGUGGGUCCCUGAAGACACUUCCUCAGGCUUUUUGCCUUGCGGGUUCUGUUGUCAUGCCCUAUGGAGAAACACACUGCCGAUGGCUGAAAAUCUGGAGGAGAUAGAGAGUAGCAACGAUACAGUUCUAGAGCAGGGACCAGUAAACGACAGCCCGCGCACCAGAUCCGCCUUGUAGGCUGGUUUUUACAUCACGUGUUGGAGCACACGCAUGCUGGUUCAUUUACAGAUCAUUGUUUGCGGCCACUUGGGUACUACGAUGGCAGAGAUGAGUAGUGGUGACAGAGACCACAGAGCCUGCAAAGCCUAGAAUACUUACUAUCUGGGCUCUUCCAGAGAGCCGAUUGACCCCUGCUCUGGAAUCUUAGAGUUCUGAGAGCUGUGGUCUCUGAUUGUUGGGUCUUGGCUCCCCAGGGAGGAUGCUGCUGCUUCCUGGUCAGAAUUCCCACCCCCAGCUUUCACUCCCAGGGAUGCCACUUCCCCAUCUUUCUAUUUCUAGUCUUUUUACCCUGAGCCCUAGGCUGACUCCUUCCUCUGGGCAGGCCCCUCCUAUUGAUCUUAGGCUGACCACCCGUGUGGUCACAAAUGUUCUCUUAGCUGGAUAACAUCUGGGGGUCCCGAAGGCCCCCACAUUGGACUUUCCUGUCCUUGGGGUCUUGCCUCCUCGCCAGUCAGUCAAGUAGGCCUUGCUUGUGUUUGACAUGGCACCUUCUAGAUUGACCCCAGGGAGCUCCUCUGCACCCCCCCCCCACCUGCAGCCACCCUGUAUGGUUCUCAUCUGUGGUGGAGGGGAGCGUGUGGCCUUCCCUCUAUUCGUAUUCCUGGCCCUCAAACACUAGCACAGCUAAUUGUAGAUAUUUCGCUUCUGCCAAUAUGUUUGGGGUCCUGCUGUUUGACCCAAAUGGAACUGAUUCAACUCCACUGAAUGAGAAACCUCAUUUCCAUAAGCUACUUCUGAGUUUGGAUGGCAACCCACCACUUUCCUCAAGUCAUUUUCUCUUGCGUGCCGCUUAUAUUCGUUGAUUUAUUUCCUGGUUUUUAAGAUAGUUUUUAUUGAUCUGAGGCAUUAAAUUUAAUUCUGAUGUGGGAGAAUCUUUUCCCUUCUAUUUUAUACUGUCUCCUAACCACUUAACUCCUUUAUUUAACAUUUUUAAUUAAUUUGGCGUGAAGCCUCUGGAAGCGAUGAUGGCAUUUCUCCUUGUAUAUAUUUUAAAAUUUUGAUACCAAGCCCUGCCCUCUUCUGCCUGUCUUUCCCUUCAAAAAUUUAAGAUAUUUGUAUUCUGUGACACCAACCGUAUUAAUCAAGACCAGUUUAUAGAGUGUCUCUGAUUUGCCAGGUCCUCUUCUAUGGUUGGGAACAGGGCACAUAUCAAAACACACAGAAAUCUCCACUCUGAGGGAGCUUUACGUGGUCAUGCUUUUCUCCAAUGACAUUGGAGCGAUGGCUGAAGUGAGUGUGUGUGGCUGAAUGUGAAAGGUCCUCCGUAGGGCCGGGAAGGAAGAGAACAUUGAGGCGGACCCCAGAGAAAAGACAGUGUCAUCAGCAGAGGGGGAGAUGUGCUGUGGGAAGAGGAGGGGUGAAAACUGAGGGAAGGAGAAAAGAAAAAGGCCUUGCUGGAUGGAGAUUGCAGUUAGGUCAGGAAAGGCCUGGAAUUCCAGACUCACUAUAGUAGGCAAGAAGGAGUCACUUUAGGGUUUUGCAAAAAGCAGUGGGACCUGUGGAAAGAGGUGUUUCAGGAGAAGGGUGGCUCAGUGAGCCUCAAAGGAGUUGGAGACCCAUAGUCUGGUCUGAGCACGCAGCCAAAAGUUAGGGAGGAAGGUGGGUGGCUUGGUGCACGAGGUGGCAGGGCCACACAGAAACUGUCGUCCUGUCUCAGAGCUCUACUGAAACACAGAAAACCAUGCUGAGAAAAUGGGACACAAUCUAGCCGCCCAGAAAUGAAGCCAUCAUCAUGUGAGAUCUUAAGUGGGGUGUGGGUUUGGGCAUUUUCACUUGACUGCACGAUUCCUAGUCCUGGAUUGUAAGCCAGAGGGCAUCAGAAGAAAGUGGCUCAUUGGGUGUUUGUAGGACGUGGUUUUACCUCCUGGUCUUUAAAUAUUGGCUUCCACGGCACAGAGAAUACACGAUGGAACUUCUUGAAGCUUCUGUUGAAUAUGUUAAAUGUUAAGUGUUAAGAGUGACAUUUUGACAAGGACAGAUCAAACACUUGGUUAUGUUUUAAAACCAGACUCUAGUUUUGUGUCAAAGCAUCCAGAACUGUCACCUCCUCACAGCCUUCCCUACAACUCAGAGUGUGGGUUUUCGUGUCCAGAAAAACCCUCAUUCACCAUCAUUCAGACAAAGAAAUACGUGCAGUCACUGAGAAAAUACCCGUGCUUCACCGGAAGGACCUGAUGCUUACAGGGAGGAGUGUUGCAUUUCGUGGAGAUUUUAUCAUUUUUUUCUUACCUUUAGGAAGUAAGAAUUGAGAUUCUUUUAUCAGCGUGUUCUGCUUCUCUCGUGAGCAGUUGUGUUCUUUCUUCCUGAAAUAGCUAUUCUCCGUUAGGCAUAAUUACAACGUAAGUGGAGAUUAGGAUACGUGACUCUGUUUGGAAAAUCUGCCUGUGAUGUGUACCUGUGCUAUUGAACACAGGCUUUUACCCACAUGCAGUGAGUUGGGCAGCCAUGUGUCCGAAGGCAAUCGCGUAAUUCGAUAGGGUUGCUGUUAUACAGAAGAGCUGUUAGCAUAAGAGUUCUACUAAAAUAUUUAUUGCUUGUCCCUGAGCUGGCGCCCUGUAAUGCAGGUACAUUAUGCAUCACCACUUAUACUGUGAUAUGCUUGGUUUCUAUCACUUAUUUUGUCUGCUUUUUUUUUUUUUUUUAAAGCCACCAUCUGCAUCUUCCACUUUGAAGUACAUUAGUUACUAUGGAAACAGUGAUGUCACUGGUGGGGGUGAGGGUUAGUAACAUCCACGAGGACAGUAUGAAAUCAUUUUAUUUAAUGGUUUGAAAUUUAUACGACACUUGGGGAAAAUUAUAGGUAUGUUUGGGAGAAUGGCGUGCUUAUACAAUUAUAGCUAGCUUGAUGUGUGUGCAUGUAACAAAAAUCAGCAUUUGUGUGUUUUUUUAGGUUGCAAACAAAAACAUGCCUGAAGAUUAAGACAGAUAUACACAGGAAGGAAAAGGAAGGCCAGGGGGCUGCCCAAGGCUCAUGGUUCCAGCAGGUGUAUAGAGUUCCCUCUGUAGGUGUGGCUUAUGUAAGUGAUAGUGCAUUUUCCCCCAUAUAAAUAUACUGUUUAGGAUAGGUCUUUGGCUGAGUGACACUUGUGUUCUGGGCAGUGGUCGAUUAAUUGUGAUGUGCCGCAGAACGCUCAGCAAGAUCCCUUGAAAAGGGGCCGGGGGUCCCAGAAGCUUCAGUCUUGUGUGUGACAGGAGAGGCGGCAUCUUGAGUCCAAGGAAGGGCCCCCGGAUCCCUUUAAUAAAUAGUGCACAGGGCGCUGUGCAGAGUGUGAACGAAGCUGGCCCGUGUUCUCCUUCAAAACUGCUCUCUUUUUCUUUUUAAACUGAUUUUGAGAUAAUUGUACAUUCCCCGGCAUAUGUAAGAAAUACUACAGAAGGACACCCGGUCUCAAUGGUAACAUUGUGCAUAAGUGUAGUACGUUGCCACAGUCAGGAAAUUGGCAUGGAUACAGUCCACCAGCAGACUCCCCCAGGGUUGCGUGCAUUCAUUUGUAUCUGUGCAUAUUUAGUCUUUGCUGUUUCAUCUUGUGGGUAGAUUCACGUGACCGCCCCCAUAGUCAAGGUACAGAACCAUUCCUCUUCAUGGAGGCCUCCUGCUGCCCUGGUGUGGCCCCGCCCUUCCCUGCCCCCAACCUCAGGCAGUCACUGAUCUGUCUUCCAUGUCCAUAAUGCUGUCAUGCUAAGAAUGAUACAUACGUGGAAUUGUUCACGUAAUCUUUGAGAUUGGCUUUUUUCAUUCAGCAAAACCCCCUCGUGGUUGCAUGUAUCCUGGAUCCCUAGGAUUGCCAGGUGAUAUUGCUGAGUGAUAUACCAUGGUAUGGAUGUACUAUGCUUAUUUAAACAAUCACUCUUUCAAGGACAUUAGUUGGUGUUCAUCUUUUCAAACACAAAGUACUUGGAAGAGAGUUUGAAGGGGUCUGCACAGCACCACCACUGGCAAGCACUUCAAAAGGAACCAGUCUCUGUCUUUUCUCUUUUCUGGUGUUUUCCAGCAGGGCUUCUUCCAGAAGCAGGAAAAUUUUCCAAAUUAUUUAGAAAGAAGGCAGGCAGGCAGUGGAGAGAGCCCACCGCAGCCCAGGGGAGCUGGCUAGCCAGCUGAUGUGUCUCCUUUCAAGGGUGGGCCUGGGUAUUGGAUAUAUUUAGUUUGUUUGCAGAGAGGAACAGAAGCACUGCGUACCCCGAGACCUGCACUGAAGGAGCUUUAUUUCUCUUCCAGGAGUUGAGGGAAGAAGAUACUUUCUGUUUUGGAUAAAAGGAGCUGUAACACCAGCUGCUCAGCCUCCUUAUUCCACCCCUGACCCGCACCCCCAAACCGUUUUGAGGAAAAUCAAAACCUAAACUCUUGUUCUGGGACAGAUCCUGGGUUUCGUUUGAUUGAUUUUCAUUUCAAAAAGUGUUGCACUUGGCCUUUUAAAAAAAUAUACCCUGGGAUUGUUUCCCCAGUCACAUGACAGAAUUUAAACACCAAAUUCCUUCUCAGAGUGCCUGCUACGGGGCUGUGUUUCUGGUCUGUGGUUCAUCGGAAGAGACCGGUGCUGAUGGACCCCCAGAAUCUGAUGUCGCGAUUCCCCACUGAGAGACUUUUCUUUACCAUGUGUUUUAUGCAACCAACAGUCUCUCCCCUUGUCCUCUGCCAUUCAAGCUAUUGACCUAAAGAAAGGAAGGGUUUUAGCGUUUGUGGUUUAAAAGCCAUUUGGAGAAACCUGGUGGGUUGGAUCAGAAGCUUCUAGUACCGACCCUUGUUGGUCGGAGAGUCUGCACGGGACUUUCUGUCCGAGCUGAGCAGCGGAUGUGAGUCCCCCUGGAAAAGCAGCAGCAGAGGUGGCCCACGUGGGAGACAGAAACAUACGUGUUUGGCUCAGACUUCAGGAGACGGUUUUCUUAGCAUAAGCAAUGUGAUUUCUUUGUCUGGCAACCUCAUUAUUGUUUUCUAGCACUAACCUGGGAUGUCAUGCUUGAGUAGGGUAACCCUUUGCCCUCCCCAUCAUCACCUUGCCUGCCUCUUCCUGGCCAGGUCAGUUGCCCUUCUCUUGGGGCCUCCUUUGCAGUUGUCCCUGUUCUGACACCAAACCCGUUACAUCAGUGCUUUGAAGAAUGGUUGCUCCUGACCGGGGAGCUCAGUUUACAGCAGCCGGGGACGCCAGCACUGUGUGUGGUGACAUCUUACCCAAAGAUCGUCUUCAGUUGCCUGGAAGGUGUCACCUGGUAUGCCAAGGAGCUGUAAUAUCACCUGGUUCUUUAAGAAGUUGGUUGGGCUGCACUCCUUGCGCCUGGUGUGUAAGGGAAUAUGGCAGAUGGGCCACCAGCCACAGUGCGGUCCAGCCUGGAGCCAUUUUCUGUAAGCAGGUGAGUGGUGAGGACCUGGGAGGGAGCCAGGUGCUCCCGCCCUUUGGAUUCCAGACCUGUCUAUCAGUGCAUCUUAAUCCCCAAAGUGCUUUGAUGCUGGUGGCUAAUAAAAUGACUCCCUCCUCCUCCCACCCCGCCUACCUGUUUUGGUGAUAGUGGUGGUGGUGUUAGCAACAGGCAGCAAUGGCCUGGGUUUCCCUUCCACCAGGUGCCUGGGAUGCUUGCUUUGUGAAAUUCAUCCUGAAAAUGAAAAGAGAAACUUGGUACUGAGACUUCCGGUUUGCCCUUUCCCUCCAUCAGCUGAGGCAUCAGAAGGAAGUUCAGAAGCCCCAGGGUUCUCAGUAGGAGAAGCAGCUCUUUGGGUUCAUGACAUCCCUUCUCUGCCUGGCCCUCUUGCUGGGAUGCUGGGGCUGGUGGAUGGUGAGCUACCUUGCUUUGGCAUGCUGGGGCAUUUAGAAACUGCCGUGUCGGGGACACCUGGGUGCUCAGUGGGUUGAGCGUCUGACUCUUGAUUUCAGCUCAGGUUAUGAUCUCAGGGUCGUGAGAUCGAGCCCCGCUUUGGGCUCCAUGCUCAGCACAGAAUCUGCUUGAGAUUCUCUCCCUCUGCCCCUCCUCCCGACUCAUGCUCGCUCACCAAAUAAAUAAAUAAAUAAAAUCUUUAAAAUAAAAAAGAAACUGCCAUGUCUUCAACAUUCUAUCCCUUUGCAUUUCCUUUCACGUAGCAGUUGGUUCUGUGGGGAUUUCCCCUCCCGGUUAUGUGUAAUUAUCUUAUUUUAUGCCAUGAUAUACCCUUACAAGUUGCCAUUGGUCAUAAAUUCCAGGUUGUGAUUUCUAUCUCUUAUAUUUCUAAGGCGAUCUUUUCACACACUCUUCACACUCUCGUAAUUAUUGCAUGUGUUCUCCUGGCUUGCAUGUACGGUUUGUGGUUCCAGGUCUUUUCUAAGCAGGGUCGUGUGGAUGAUAUCCCGAGAGCAGCAUCCUGAAACACCACUUCUCCUUCGUCUGUUCUCUGUGCUGGGCCGGCGACCGUGUGAAGUGCUACGCAAGUUAUCGUCUGCUUAACCCGCCCGCUGAUGCACGUAUAGAGACGUUGCCCAGAGCAGCCACUGUAGCAUCACAUAAAGUCGCAGGAAUGAUCAAAAUCGUCCCAACGAUUGAUAAGAAUAGUGAUGCUAUCUAACGCUAUUCUAAGGUGGAGAUUCCGAGUUCUUGAGGGUUCGGGAAAUGUUCUCGGUGUCACACAGCUUGAAUGGCAAUGCCGGGCACCGAAAGUGUGCAUUCCCACUCCAGAAGCUUUUUUUUUUUUUUUUAAUAAUAAAAAGUUGUUUUAAAAUAAA